This 1053-nucleotide ribosomal RNA is filed under the name uncultured Enterobacter sp. RNAcentral describes it as "bacterial SSU rRNA". It matches the Rfam family "Bacterial small subunit ribosomal RNA", at positions 43 to 1087 of the family's 1533-position model. The record is from RNAcentral. Lineage: Bacteria; Pseudomonadati; Pseudomonadota; Gammaproteobacteria; Enterobacterales; Enterobacteriaceae.
CAGGCCUAACACAUGCAAGUCGAGCGGUAGCACAGAGAGCUUGCUCUCGGGUGACGAGCGGCGGACGGGUGAGUAAUGUCUGGGAAACUGCCUGAUGGAGGGGGAUAACUACUGGAAACGGUAGCUAAUACCGCAUAAUGUCGCAAGUCCAAAGAGGGGGACCUUCGGGCCUCUUGCCAUCAGAUGUGCCCAGAUGGGAUUAGCUAGUAGGUGGGGUAACGGCUCACCUAGGCGACGAUCCCUAGCUGGUCUGAGAGGAUGACCAGCCACACUGGAACUGAGACACGGUCCAGACUCCUACGGGAGGCAGCAGUGGGGAAUAUUGCACAAUGGGCGCAAGCCUGAUGCAGCCAUGCCGCGUGUAUGAAGAAGGCCUUCGGGUUGUAAAGUACUUUCAGCGGGGAGGAAGGUGCUGAGGUUAAUAACCUCAGCAAUUGACGUUACCCGCAGAAGAAGCACCGGCUAACUCCGUGCCAGCAGCCGCGGUAAUACGGAGGGUGCAAGCGUUAAUCGGAAUUACUGGGCGUAAAGCGCACGCAGGCGGUCUGUCAAGUCGGAUGUGAAAUCCCCGGGCUCAACCUGGGAACUGCAUUCGAAACUGGCAGGCUAGAGUCUUGUAGAGGGGGGUAGAAUUCCAGGUGUAGCGGUGAAAUGCGUAGAGAUCUGGAGGAAUACCGGUGGCGAAGGCGGCCCCCUGGACAAAGACUGACGCUCAGGUGCGAAAGCGUGGGGAGCAAACAGGAUUAGAUACCCUGGUAGUCCACGCCGUAAACGAUGUCGACUUGGAGGUUGUGCCCUUGAGGCGUGGCUUCCGGAGCUAACGCGUUAAGUCGACCGCCUGGGGAGUACGGCCGCAAGGUUAAAACUCAAAUGAAUUGACGGGGGCCCGCACAAGCGGUGGAGCAUGUGGUUUAAUUCGAUGCAACGCGAAGAACCUUACCUACUCUUGACAUCCAGAGAACUUUCCAGAGAUGGAUUGGUGCCUUCGGGAACUCUGAAACAGGUGCUGCAUGGCUGUCGUCAGCUCGUGUUGUGAAAUGUUGGGUUAAGUCC